CAGCCGUAAACUAUGCGCGUUAGGUGUAUCGGUGACCACGAGUCACCGAGGUGCCGAAGGGAAACCGUGAAACGUGCCGCCUGGGAAGUACGGUCGCAAGGCUGAAACUUAAAGGAAUUGGCGGGGGAGCACCGCAACGGGUGGAGCCUGCGGUUUAAUUGGACUCAACGCCGGGAAGCUCACCGGAUAAGACAGCGGAAUGAUUGCCGGGCUGAAGACUCUGCAUGACUAGCUGAGAGGAGGUGCAUGGCGUAGACGUCU
RNAcentral lists this ribosomal RNA (261 nucleotides) under uncultured archaeon. RNAcentral describes it as "partial 16S ribosomal RNA". It matches the Rfam family "Archaeal small subunit ribosomal RNA", at positions 748 to 1009 of the family's 1478-position model. The record is from RNAcentral.